RNAcentral lists this ribosomal RNA (2389 nucleotides) under human oral metagenome. RNAcentral's name for it is "bacterial LSU rRNA". It matches the Rfam family "Bacterial large subunit ribosomal RNA", at positions 171 to 2317 of the family's 2925-position model. The record is from RNAcentral.
AAUUAGACGGGAACCAGCCGAACUGAAUCAUCUUAGUAGGUUGAGGAAAAGAGAAUAAACAAUGAUUCCGAAAGUAGUGGCGAGCGAAAUUGGAACAGCCCAAACCUUAACAUAACCAUACGGUUUAACGGCCAGAGUUAUGAAAGGGGUUGUGAAAUUAGAUAAUUUUUAUGUAUAGCGGUUGAUUACAUCGAAGCCUACUCACUUUUAAGGAACGUAUGCAUGGCUGAGCGGCCACAAGCGUGUCCGAAAAAGUGAGUAGGCUUUUGAUACGACGGUUAUACAUAAAAACCAACAUCGUUAAAUGAGUGGAUAAUGAUAAAAUCCUUUAGAUCAUAGCAGAAGUGUUUGAAUGGCACACCAUAGAAGGUGAGAGUCCUGUACGCGAAAUGGUCUUAGGCAUUAUAUAUCUUUUUUCAAGUAGGACGGGGCACGAGAAACCCUGUUUGAAUCCGGCAGGACCACCUGCCAAGGCUAAAUAUAUUGAUUGAUCGAUAGCGAACUAGUACAGUGAUGGAAAGGUGAAAAGAACCCCGGGAGGGGAGUGAAAUAGAUCCUGAAAUUGUGUGCCUACAAGGAGUCGGAGCCGGCUUGUCCGGUGACGGCGUGCUUUUUGUAGAACGAUCCAGCGAGUUAAUUUCGUGCGCAAGGUUAAGCCAAUUGGCGGAGCCACAGUGAAAGCGAGCCUGAAUAGGGCGAAUGAGUGCACGGGAUUAGACCCGAAACCGGGUGACCUAACCAUGAGCAGGUUGAAGCUACUGUAACAGGUAGUGAAGGACCGAACCAGGAUACGCAGCAAAGUGUUUGGAUGACUUGUGGUUAGCGGUGAAAUGCCAAUCGAACUCGGAGAUAGCUGGUUCUCCUCGAAAUAGCUUUAGGGCUAGCGUCAUGUUAGUAAUGUAUGGGGGUAGAGCUCUGUAAAGGAUUGGGGCGGGCAACUGUACCCACCCUUAACAAACUACGAAUACCAUAUAUGUAAUCAUGGCAGUUAGAACAUCGGUGCUAAGAUCGGUGCUCAAAAGGGAAACAGCCCAGACCAUCAUCUAAGGUCCCUAAAUAUACAUUAAGUGGGAAACAAGGUGAAAUUUCUUAAACAGCGAGGAUGUUGGCUUAGAAGCAGCCAUUCAUUUAAAGAGUGCGUAACAGCUCACUCGUCAAGAGAUUUUGCGUGGAAAAUGUAACGGGGCUAAAUGUAUUACCGAAGAUAUGGAUUAUUACAUUAGUAAUAGUGGUAGAGGAGCGUUCCUAUCAGCAGUGAAGCAGUAUUGAAAAGUAUUGUGAAGCGGUAGGAAGUGAGAAUGCUGGAAUGAGUAACUAUAAGAUAGGUGAGAAUCCUGUCGGCCGUAAGAGCAAGGUUUCCUGAGCUAUGGUAAUCAUCUCAGGGUUAGUCGGGCCUAAGCCGAGGCGCAUAGCGUAGGCGAUGGACAUCAGGUUAAUAUUCCUGAACCGGUAUAUACUUGUAUGCUAUUCACGGCGAGAUAUCCGGAGCGGAUUCAUGGUUUAUCCGUCCAACCGAGCGGGAACGCAAAGGGAGUGAAAGUGAUUCUUCGGAGUCGCGAUUUUGGUGAAAGCCCUGGCUAGAAAAGCAGAUGUACGCGUGGACUUAGCCGCCCGUACCGCAAACCAACACAGGUGCUCGAGUCGAGUAGACUCAGGCUUACGAGAGAACCUUCGCUAAGGAACUCGGCAAUACAGCGACCGUAACUUCGGAAUAAGGUCUGCCCCCACUUCGGUGGAUAUGUUGUCAGUUUCAUAGCUCUAUAAGGUGUGGUUAAAGAGUAUCUUUAAUACAUCAAUUCUUCUUGAGAUAGAACCAAGCUUUGGAACUGAAGCUCAACACAUCUAGCGAUGUGGGGGCCGCAGCAAAAGAGCCCACGGAACUGUUUAUCAAAAACACAGCUCUCUGCCAACACGAAAGUGGAUGUAUAGGGGGUGACUCCUGCCCGGUGCUGGAAGGUUAAGGGGAGUGCUUUACGGUGCGAACUGAAGCCCCAGUGAACGGCGGCGGUAACUAUAACCGUCCUAAGGUAGCGAAAUUCCUUGUCAGGUAAGUUCUGACCCGCACGAAUGGAGUAAUCAUGUGGGCACUGUCUCAGCGAAGGACUCGGUGAAAGUGCAUUGGCGGUAAAGAUGCCGUCUGUCCAUACCAGGACGAGAAGACCCCAUGGAGCUUUACUACAGCUUUACAUUGAUCCGGGUUUCAACAUGUGUAGCAUAGUUGGGAGACUGCGAAGCAGAUACGCUAGUAUUUGUGGAGUCGCAAUGUGAAAUACCAACCUUGUUGUGAUCUUGAUCUCACUUGUGCCGUUAUCCGGUAUGAGGACCGUGUAUGGUGGGUAGUUUAACUGGGGCGGUUGCCUCCUAAAGAGUAGCGGAGGCGUUCAAAGGU